RNAcentral lists this ribosomal RNA (492 nucleotides) under uncultured bacterium. Its description in RNAcentral is "partial 16S ribosomal RNA". It matches the Rfam family "Bacterial small subunit ribosomal RNA", at positions 29 to 507 of the family's 1533-position model. The record is from RNAcentral.
AGUGAACGCUGGCGGUAGGCCUAACACAUGCAAGUCGAACGGCAGCACAGUAAGAGCUUGCUCUUACGGGUGGCGAGUGGCGGACGGGUGAGGAAUACAUCGGAAUCUACUUUUUCGUGGGGGAUAACGUAGGGAAACUUACGCUAAUACCGCAUACGACCUACGGGUGAAAGCAGGGGAUCUUCGGACCUUGCGCGAAUGAAUGAGCCGAUGUCGGAUUAGCUAGUUGGCGGGGUAAAGGCCCACCAAGGCGACGAUCCGUAGCUGGUCUGAGAGGAUGAUCAGCCACACUGGAACUGAGACACGGUCCAGACUCCUACGGGAGGCAGCAGUGGGGAAUAUUGGACAAUGGGCGCAAGCCUGAUCCAGCCAUACCGCGUGGGUGAAGAAGGCCUUCGGGUUGUGAAGCCCUUUUGUUGGGAAAGAAAAGCAGCAGGUUAAUACCCCGCUGUUCUGACGGUACCCAAAGAAUAAGCACCGGCUAACUUCGUG